This 301-nucleotide ribosomal RNA is filed under the name uncultured bacterium. RNAcentral's name for it is "partial 16S ribosomal RNA". It matches the Rfam family "Bacterial small subunit ribosomal RNA", at positions 510 to 808 of the family's 1533-position model. The record is from RNAcentral.
CGUAGCCGCGGUAAUACAGAGGGUGCAAGCGUUAAUCGGAAUUACUGGGCGUAAAGCGCGCGUAGGUGGUUUGUUAAGUUGGAUGUGAAAUCCCCGGGCUCAACCUGGGAACUGCAUCCAAAACUGGCAAGCUAGAGUAUGGUAGAGGGUGGUGGAAUUUCCUGUGUAGCGGUGAAAUGCGUAGAUAUAGGAAGGAACACCAGUGGCGAAGGCGACCACCUGGACUGAUACUGACACUGAGGUGCGAAAGCGUGGGGAGCAAACAGGAUUAGAUACCCCAGUAGUCCCUGUCUCUUAUACA